UCUCUCUGCUUUCAGCUUCUUUACAGUGUUGCCUUGUGGCAUGGAGUUCAAGCAGCAUUGUACAGGGCUAUCAAAGCACAGAGAGC
Molecule: microRNA precursor, 86 nt
Filed under: Mus pahari (shrew mouse)
Lineage: Eukaryota; Metazoa; Chordata; Mammalia; Rodentia; Muridae
Description: microRNA 107 (MGP_PahariEiJ_G0006625.1)
Rfam family: mir-103/107 microRNA precursor family
About the family: This family consists of the mammalian microRNA (miRNA) precursors mir-103 and mir107. Animal miRNAs are transcribed as ~70nt precursors and subsequently processed by the Dicer enzyme to give a ~22nt product.
Source: RNAcentral